Molecule: long non-coding RNA, 450 nt
Filed under: Marmota monax (woodchuck)
Lineage: Eukaryota; Metazoa; Chordata; Mammalia; Rodentia; Sciuridae
Source: RNAcentral
GUUUGGGAGAACCACCUGAGCCAGUGAGGUGACCUGCCUCUGGAGGGAGGAGAGUGACUUCGCCGUAGCAUCGAGAGCCGCUUGAAGCUUUUUGUGAAGGCCAUCUUUAGUCCAGAUAGAGUGCCCUAUAGCUCCUCCUGAGACUCCAGCCACUGCUACAGUUGAAGCUACAGAGAGUCCUAUCAAAAUUGGCAGAAAGGCUGCACACUUGCUGCGUGGGGAAUUAGGGUGAGGGAGUAAGAGCUCAAACUCUGCGGUGCAACAUAAAGUAAGUUGAGAGGUUACUUGGACAACAAAACAGGGAGCAGUUAUAUUGUCAGAGAUGUGGGUCAUUAAGGUUUCAUUACACCAAAGAAAGUCUCCAGGGUUUGUGUAUUUAUUGGUGGAAGCAACCGUGUAAUGUGAGCUUCUGUCGUGUUGGGUGUGUGACGGAGGGCUAAUACAGAGCCA